GUACAGGUGAUGUGCCCGCCGCGUCCUCGGAUCUGAUCACCCUCCGGAGGCGGGGGCGCAGGUUCGAAUCCUGCCGGGG
Molecule: transfer RNA, 79 nt
Filed under: Allocatelliglobosispora scoriae
Lineage: Bacteria; Bacillati; Actinomycetota; Actinomycetes; Micromonosporales; Micromonosporaceae
Description: tRNA-Arg
Source: RNAcentral